GACGAACGCUGGCGGCGUGCUUAACACAUGCAAGUCGAGCGGUAAGGCCCUUUCGGGGGUACACGAGCGGCGAACGGGUGAGUAACACGUGGGUGACCUGCCCUCAGCUCUGGGAUAAGCCUGGGAAACCGGGUCUAAUACUGGAUAUGACUCCAUGACGCAUGUUGUGGGGUGGAAAGCCUUGUGCGGCUGAGGAUGGGCCCGNGGCCUAUCAGCUUGUUGGUGGGGUGANGGCCUACCAAGGCGACGACGGGUAGCCGGCCUGAGAGGGCGACCGGCCACACUGGGACUGAGACAC
Molecule: ribosomal RNA, 298 nt
Filed under: uncultured bacterium
Lineage: Bacteria
Description: partial 16S ribosomal RNA
Rfam family: Bacterial small subunit ribosomal RNA
Source: RNAcentral